CCCCGAACAAACACACCCUUCAUUUACCCUCUAUGGUUGUAAUUCAUUUCUCUGCAAAUUUCAUAUUCCCAGCUCCAAAUACGGUUGAUCCUAAUUGAUCAGCUCCGAGCGAUUCACAAUCCAAGAUUUUGGAUAACAGUUUUACUCUCCUUCUCUGUCGUGCUUCGCAAUUUUGGAGCAUCUCGCAGUCGCUCUUGCUGCUAAUUUAUCUUUUGCACACUUAACUCUGCAACAUUGGGGAAAGUUGCACACCUGAACGAGUCUUUACAACAAUCUUCUCGUCAAACGAUUAGGAGGUAUGUUAAAUCUAGUUGUUUCAAAGGACUAUUCCAUGUUAAACCAAUGCCUAUUCCUGUGGCUCCUAUUAUGCAAUUACUGAGUUUUUGGGAACAGGAUAGCUGAGUAAUUUCAUUUAUCUAAUAAAAAUAAAUGGUAUAUUUUGCGAAUUGCGGUGUUGCUGUUGUGUAUGGGUUGCCAUACGGGGAAAAUAAGGAACCGAUUUCUUUGGAUGAGUCUGAUUCUUAGCACUUUUUCUGAUGGAUUUGCAUUAGAUAUGAAACUUAUAGGUAGGAAUAAGAAAUAUAUUGUUGAGCCUUUGUUAAAGGACUUACUGGACAGUGGAGGGCUAAGAAAUGAUGUUGAUAUUUGGAUGAUAUAUGUCAUGUACUGCAUGUGUAAUCUGUUGACGCCUAUAUCUAAUUCGAAUAUUAAUCAUUGUAUAUUCCAAUUCCUUGAGUCUAAGGAGUUAGCAAGUGAGUUCAACUGGGCUUGAUAUGUGAGAGAUAAGAUUGUUGAGGGUUUGUAUGCGAUAUCGAAGAAAUUCAAGAAGAAAGCAUUGGUUAGUGGAAGGCCGUCUGGAGAUAUGCAUUGUUUAAUGGCAAAUUAAAAUAUUGUAAUCUCUUUGCUUACUUUUGUGUUUUCUUUUUGUGUAAUAUGCUAUUUUUAUAUUUUCAGCAUAUAUUUUUUUGAUAAGUUCCAUAGUUAGAAAUGUGGGAGCGUUUUUUUUUAAUGUCAUAUCACACGAAAACUGACUUUCCAUGACAUUUUAAAGGUCUUCAGCCCCCAAAGUGUUUGAUCCUUGAAGGUUAGAAUUUGUAUUCUAGUUGAAACAUGUAGCUUUGAAUAUGUUGAGUUGAUUAUUUGUUCUGCCUGUUAACCGUUCAUCUAUGAUAUGCUAAGUAAUACUUGUCGACAUGGUGAAGUAAUAUUUUUUGGAAUGCUGAUUUGCUUCAUAGACCGAUACAUAGGAGAAUGAUAUACAUAUGUUAUAAUUUGUAUUCUAGUUUAAACGUGUAGCUUUGAAUAUGUUGAGUUGAUUGUUUGUUUUGUCUGCUUACUGUUCUUAUAUGAUAUGCUAACUAAUAGUUGUCGACAUGCUGAAGUAGUGUUUAUGGAACAAUGGUACAAGAGUGAGAUUUUCCGGGUUUCAGAAAUUCUUUACAAUUUAAAGAAAGACUACAACAAGAAUUUUAAGGGUGAUCAGCAACACGAAGCUGCCAAUGAGGAUGGAAUUGUUGAUGGCAACGAAAGAGCAAAGGAAUAAGAUCUUCACGAAAAGAAUGCUAAGAAUGUGAUUUUAAUUGUAUCAGUUUAUAUAUUGAAUGUUGUUAUGUUAUAUAUCAUUGUUUUUCUUGUAGAUUUGCAAUGGUAUGUAAACUUAUCCUUGAUUAUUGUCAUAGGAUUUUGUUCAGUGCGAUUUGCCCGUGCGAAAGUAAGAUGUCCGGGAAGAACAAAAUGUUGAACAAGAACAUAUUGAAAACGAGACGGCAGUGCAAAUUGAGGAAAUGGUGUGGACCUCCCAAAAGUGUGAUGAAGAAGUUAAUGUUAAUCCAAUGAGUCUUUUUUCACUUGGCUUAAUACAAGAGUUCAAAAAUAUUGUUGGACAUUCGGAGGGAAGUUCGCCAAGCAAGGUUUCUCUGUGGAUUUGCAAGCAUUUUUUAUGAGUUUACGUUGAGUGAAGAGGAAGAAAGAACCGUUAAAUGGACAUUUUAUUUACAUCGCACCUCAGCGGUCGAUUUGGGAGACAUUAUUUUUUCGGAUGGAAUCACUGAUAUAUUCAAGCAUGAUAUCCAGAGUCUACAAUCCUCUUUUGAUGUGCAAGCAAUGUGGUUGAUGCAUUUCGCACCUUCCUAAACAAAUCAGAUUUCAGAAUAAGUGUUUCAAUGUCCAAAUUUUGUAUUCUCCAACAUGGUUGUAAGUAUAUAUUUACAUGUGCUUAACAUUUGUAUUGAAGAUGAUUAUUGAUUAUAUUUGAAAUGUUAACACAUGGAAUAUUGGAUGCUUAUGGUAGAAAUAGAUUGAUGCUAUAUUUUUUUUUUAUGCAUGUAGUAUAUGGUGCUAGUUGAGAUUGAAAAUAAUUAUGCCCAAAAAACCGACAAAGAACUGAUCAAGGAAUGAGAUCGACAAUUGAAUUUGACAUAUUUUGGUAAUGAACCGAUAAUGUGAGUAUUUUUAAUGUAUAUAUGGAAUGUUGAGUUUACUUACUAUGCAUUAUGAAAUGUUGAAUUGGUUUUGUGUAUCUUAUAGCAAUUUUUUUUCUCAUGCAGUAGUUCCUACCACUGUGUGUUUUUCUCUUUUAUCUAUUAUUCGCAAAAAGAUUAACUAUUUCAAUAGCUUAAAUGCGGUUGAUGGAUGGACAUCAGAUUUGGUGGUUUUUGAGCGAUUUUUCGGUUAUUUUCGACUGGCUGCAAAUAUGUUAU
Molecule: RNA transcript, 2699 nt
Organism: Andrographis paniculata
Lineage: Eukaryota; Viridiplantae; Streptophyta; Magnoliopsida; Lamiales; Acanthaceae
Exons: 4
Source: RefSeq, a predicted model, not a curated record